GCCGCGUGGGUGAUGAAGGCUUUCCAGUUGUAAAACCCUUUACUGGGGGAUGAGUAAGGACAGUACCACAGCAACCAGUCUCGGCUAACUACCUGCCAGCAGCCGCGGUGAGACCUAAGAAGCGAGCGUUAUCCGGAUUCCCUGGGCGUAAAGGGCAAGUAGGCGGUUGUUCAAGUUGGGCGUGACAGAUCUCGGCUUAACUGAAAAAGGUCGUCCCAUACUGAACGACUAAAGGGCAAGAAAAGAAAACGGAACUCCCGAUGUAACGGUGGAAUGGUCCAAAAUCGGGAAGAACCCCCGUGGCGAAGGGGGCUUUCUGGGCUGCACCUGAAGCUGAAAGGCGAAAGCUAAGGUAGCAAAAGGGCUUAAAUACCCCGGUAGUCCUAGCUGUAAACCUUGGAAACUUAGUAAUUGGGGGCAAGGGCAUCAGUGGCCAAACCAACCCGUUAAAUAUCCCGCCUGGGGACUACCACCCCCAGGUUAAAACUUCAAAGGAAUU
RNAcentral lists this ribosomal RNA (499 nucleotides) under uncultured bacterium. RNAcentral's name for it is "bacterial SSU rRNA". It matches the Rfam family "Bacterial small subunit ribosomal RNA", at positions 396 to 911 of the family's 1533-position model. The record is from RNAcentral.